RNAcentral lists this unclassified non-coding RNA (432 nucleotides) under soil metagenome. RNAcentral's name for it is "partial contains 5.8S ribosomal RNA, internal transcribed spacer 2, and large subunit ribosomal RNA". The stretch from base 1 to 119 matches the Rfam family "5.8S ribosomal RNA", at positions 35 to 154 of the family's 154-position model. The record is from RNAcentral.
GAUGAAGACGUAGCGAAAUGCGAUACGUAAUGUGAAUUGCAGAAUUCAGUGAAUCAUCGAAUCUUUGAACGCAUAUUGCGCUCUCUGGUAUUCCGGAGAGCAUGCUUGUUUGAGUAUCAGUAAACACCUCAACUUCCAUAUCUUUUUUGAAAUGGGAGUUGGACUUGAGUGAUCCCAACGCUUUUCCUCACCGAAAAGUGGCGGGUUACUUGAAAUGCAGGUGCAGCUGGACUUUUCUCUGAGCUAUAAGCAUAUCUAUUUAGUCUGCCUAAAAAACAGAUUAUUACCUUUGCUGCAGCUAACAUAAAGGAGAUUAGUUCUUGUGCUGACUGAUGCAGGAUUCACAAAGACAGGCUUCGGCCGACUUUGUAAACUCGAUCUCAAAUCAAGUAAGACUACCCGCUGAACUUAAGCAUAUCAAUAAGCGGAGGA